UUACAUAAAUUUUGUUAAUUAUUUAAUAUAUUUUAUUUUAGUAAAUUAAUUUUUUAUUUCUUUUAUUUACAUGUAAAUUUUUGUAAAUCAGUAUUUUGAUAAUUUAAUAAACAGUAAUUGUAAUUAUUUUUUAAUGAAAAUUAGAUGUAUAAAUUGAUUUUAGACUCGACUAAUUUUGUGCCAGCAGUUGCGGUUACACAAUUGAGUUAAUAAAAUUUUUAAAAUGAAUUAAUUAUUUAUUUAUUUAGGGAUUAAAGUUAAAAUUUUAAAGGUAAAAUUUAAUUUUUUAAACUUAAUUUUUUGUUUGUAAUUGAGAAACUAGUGAAUAAAUCAGGAUUAGAUACCCUGUUAUUGGAGUGUAAAUUUAUUGGAGUAGUAAAAGUUAAGAUCUUGAAACUCAAAAAAUUUGGCGGUAUUUUAUCUUAUUAGAGGAACCUGUUUAUUAAUUGAUAUUCCACAACUUAAAUUUACUUUUACUAUAUUAUUUGUAUACCGCUGUCAUGAAUCUAUUUAGAAAUAUAUUUUCAAAAUUUUUUAUGUAAGUUAUGUUAGGUCAAGGUGCAGUAUGUGACUGUAGAAAAUGGGUUACAUUAUUUAUUAUGAAUGAAUUGGUUUAGUAAAAAGAAACAUGAAAUAGGAUUUAUAAGUAAAAAAAUUGUUAAAGAUUUUAUAUGAAUAAAGAUUCUAAAAUAUGUACACAUUGCCCGUCGCUCUUGUUUAAAAUAAGAUAAGUCGUAACAUAGUAGAUGUACUGGAAAGUGUCUCUGGAAUUA
Molecule: non-coding RNA, 773 nt
Filed under: Cacopsylla coccinea
Lineage: Eukaryota; Metazoa; Arthropoda; Insecta; Hemiptera; Psyllidae
Source: RNAcentral